This 400-nucleotide ribosomal RNA is filed under the name uncultured bacterium. RNAcentral's name for it is "bacterial SSU rRNA". It matches the Rfam family "Bacterial small subunit ribosomal RNA", at positions 355 to 772 of the family's 1533-position model. The record is from RNAcentral.
UUAGGAAUAUUGGACAAUGGGCGCAAGCCUGAUCCAGCCAUGCCGCGUGAGUGAUGAAGGCCUUAGGGUUGUAAAGCUCUUUUGGCGGGGAAGAUAAUGACUGUACCCGCAGAAUAAGCCCCGGCUAAAUUCGUGCCAGCAGCCGCGGUAAUACGAAUGGGGCAAGCGUUGUUCGGAAUCACUGGGCGUAAAGCGUGUGUAGGCGGUUUGACAAGUCAGAAGUGAAAGCCCAAGGCUUAACCUUGGAAUUGCUUUUGAAACUGUCAGACUGGAAUCCCGGAGAGGUUAGCAGAAUUCCAAGUGUAGAGGUGAAAUUCGCAGAUAUUUGGAGGAAUACCAGUGGCGCAAGCGGCUAACUGGACGGGCAUUGACGCUGAGACACGAAAGCGUGGGGAUCAAA